UUUGAGUGUCUGCUCUCAAGGUAGGUACCAGGGAUGCUAAAGUUGAUGCUUUUGUAGAUACUGGGUCAGCCUCCAUCCCAUCCUCCUUGGACCAGCCCAGGCUGAGGUGGGCCUUGUGCCAGAGGAGGACAGGCAGUGGAUGGCAGGGCCAUCUGCCCAGUUUGCACAUUCCACCCCCCCCCAUCCCUCCCAACCCCAGCACACACAAAGGAAAGUAGCCACAGCCGGGAAGCUCCCAGCUGUGUGGAUACCGUCUCGGUGGGCCCUGCUGGAGACAACGCCAUCUGAUCAAAAGGAGCCCCCCAGCAUCUCUGUGCCGUCAGAGAAGCAGCUGCAGGUAGCUGAAUCGGAGCCCAAAUCCUUGCAAAAACGCCGGUGGGACCCCUGCCAACAACCAAGCAAUGGCUUUUCAAGCUGGAAGGGAGCAAGUCCGACUCAAUCUUGGUUGCUGGUCUGA
This 457-nucleotide long non-coding RNA is filed under the name Sus scrofa (pig). RNAcentral describes it as "lncRNA (ENSSSCG00060026985.1)". The record is from RNAcentral. Lineage: Eukaryota; Metazoa; Chordata; Mammalia; Artiodactyla; Suidae.